GUCUACAGCCAUACCACCCUGAACACGCCCUAUCUCAUCUGAUCUCCAAAACUAAGCAGGGUCGGGCCUGGUUAGUACUUGGAUGGGAGAAAAAUAAAAGGGUGUGGGGA
This 110-nucleotide ribosomal RNA is filed under the name Octodon degus (degu). Lineage: Eukaryota; Metazoa; Chordata; Mammalia; Rodentia; Octodontidae. The record is from RNAcentral.